AUGAACUCUUGUCCUGAACUGGUGAUUGCACUCUUCUUAAUGUUUGGAGGAAGCAAUGGAGACUCGGUGACUCAGACAGAAGGCCAAGUGACACUCUCUGAAGGGGCUUCUCUGACUGUGAACUGUUCCUAUGAAACCACACAGUACCCAGCCCUGUUCUGGUAUGUGCAGUAUCCCGGAGAAGGGCCACAGCUCCUCCUUAGAGCCUCAAAGGCCAACGAGAAGGGAAGCAGCAGAGGUUUUGAAGCUACAUAUGAGAAAGAAACCACGUCCUUCCACUUGCAGAAAGCCUCAGUGCAAGCGUCGGACUCGGCUGUGUACUACUGUGCUCUGGGUGACACAGUGGCAGAAACCACAGGGGCAGCUGAGCACAAACUCUGA
Rattus rattus (black rat) is the source of this 381-nucleotide non-coding RNA. The record is from the annotation of a RefSeq genome assembly. NCBI's taxonomy places the organism in Eukaryota, Metazoa, Chordata, Mammalia, Rodentia, Muridae.